GCCAGCAUGGUGCAGUGGUUUGAGCAUUGGACUACAACUUGAGACCAGGGUUCAAAUCCCCGCUCAGCCA
Phrynosoma platyrhinos (Desert horned lizard) is the source of this 70-nucleotide non-coding RNA. Lineage: Eukaryota; Metazoa; Chordata; Lepidosauria; Squamata; Phrynosomatidae. The record is from the annotation of a GenBank genome assembly.